AAGCGUUUGCGACCAGACCUUCUCCUGGCGGAUCAUCCGGUGUUUUCACCGGUGCACUUCGCCUGGUUUAGGCCAGCAUCGGUUUCUGUGGGGGGAUAAAAGCUCUGGGAAUGUGGCUCCCUCGGGAGUGUUAUAGCCCUCUGCAUAAUACCCUCACGGGGACCGAGGACCGCGCUUUGCAAGGAUGCUGGCAUAAUGGUCGUCAACGA
RNAcentral lists this ribosomal RNA (209 nucleotides) under Xylariaceae sp. Its description in RNAcentral is "partial large subunit ribosomal RNA". Lineage: Eukaryota; Fungi; Ascomycota; Sordariomycetes; Xylariales; Xylariaceae. The record is from RNAcentral.